GAUGAACGCUAGCGGCAGGCCUAACACAUGCAAGUCGAGGGGCAUCACGAGGUAGCAAUACUUUGGUGGCGACCGGCGCACGGGUGCGUAACGCGUAUGUAACCUACCUAUAACAGGGGCAUAACACUGAGAAAUUGGUACUAAUUCCCCAUAAUAUUCGGAGAGGCAUCUCUCCGGGUUGAAAACUCCGGUGGUUAUAGAUGGACAUGCGUUGUAUUAGCUAGUUGGUGAGGUAACGGCUCACCAAGGCAACGAUACAUAGGGGGACUGAGAGGUUAACCCCCCACACUGGUACUGAGACACGGACCAGACUCCUACGGGAGGCAGCAGUGAGGAAUAUUGGUCAAUGGACGCAAGUCUGAACCAGCCAUGCCGCGUGCAGGAAGACGGCUCUAUGAGUUGUAAACUGCUUUUGUACGAGGGUAAACUCACCUACGUGUAGGUGACUGAAAGU
RNAcentral lists this ribosomal RNA (454 nucleotides) under uncultured bacterium. Its description in RNAcentral is "bacterial SSU rRNA". It matches the Rfam family "Bacterial small subunit ribosomal RNA", at positions 28 to 476 of the family's 1533-position model. The record is from RNAcentral.